CCAGCCAUUAGAUACUCCCUAGGCUGAUAUUAGCAUUUCUGUUUAGAGCCUAGGCUAGAUAUCUAGUUCUCAUAUGUAUUUUGUGUUUAUCAUGUAUCUUUAAACUUUGACUGAGGAACAUUUUAUUUGCUUUUGUUUUUGACAUGAAUGUACUAAAAUGUUCCUAUUUUGAUCAAUGAAGUUUGAAUGUUUGUUAUUUAUUGUGUCUUUUCCCAUGCACCUAUUUGAUGAUAACAAAAAGGGGGAGAAGUAAAGAAAGAGUAAUAGGGGGAGAAGUAAAGAUAGAGCAAUAAGAGGAGAAGUAAAGAAAGAAAGAGAAAUAACUUGUAAAACAAAUUGAAAAUCAUA
RNAcentral lists this long non-coding RNA (348 nucleotides) under Phoenix dactylifera (date palm). RNAcentral describes it as "long non-coding RNA (PDAC_LNC011645)". The record is from RNAcentral. Lineage: Eukaryota; Viridiplantae; Streptophyta; Magnoliopsida; Arecales; Arecaceae.